RNAcentral lists this ribosomal RNA (207 nucleotides) under uncultured bacterium. Its description in RNAcentral is "partial 16S ribosomal RNA". It matches the Rfam family "Bacterial small subunit ribosomal RNA", at positions 568 to 774 of the family's 1533-position model. The record is from RNAcentral.
CGUGUAGGCGGCUGAUUAAGUCUGGAGUGAAAGUCCUGCUUUCAAGGUGGGAAUUGCUUUGGAGACUGGUCGGCUUGAGUGCGGAAGAGGUAAGUGGAAUUCCCAGUGUAGCGGUGAAAUGCGUAGAGAUUGGGAGGAACACCAGUGGCGAAGGCGACUUACUGGGCCGUAACUGACGCUGAGGCGCGAAAGCGUGGGGAGCGAACA